Molecule: ribosomal RNA, 481 nt
Filed under: uncultured bacterium
Lineage: Bacteria
Description: partial 16S ribosomal RNA
Rfam family: Bacterial small subunit ribosomal RNA
Source: RNAcentral
GACGAACGUUGGCGGCGUGCUUAAUACAUGCAAGUCAACUGAAGCAGUGGUAGCAAUAUCGCUGUGGAGGUGGCGCACGGGUGAGUAACACGUUGGUAAUCUGCCUUCAGGUCUGGCAUAACUCCGGGAAACCGGGGCUAAUAGCAGAUGAUGCAGCGGCUCGACAUCGAGACAGUUGUUAAAGCUAUGGCGCCUGAAGAUGAGCCUGCGUCUGAUUAGCUAGUUGGCGGGGUAACGGCCCACCAAGGCAACGAUCAGUAGCUGGUCUGAGAGGAUGAUCAGCCACACUGGAACUGAGACACGGUCCAGACUCCUACGGGAGGCAGCAGUAAGGAAUAUUGCUCAAUGGGAGAAAUCCUGAAGCAGCAACGCCGCGUGAGGGACGAAGGGCUUUUGCUUGUAAACCUCUGUAGUGAGAGAAAAAAAUCCCAAUCUUUGGGACAUGAUGGUAUCUCAAAAGUAAGCCCCGGCUAACUACGUG